RNAcentral lists this ribosomal RNA (300 nucleotides) under uncultured Hyphomicrobium sp. RNAcentral's name for it is "bacterial SSU rRNA". It matches the Rfam family "Bacterial small subunit ribosomal RNA", at positions 135 to 452 of the family's 1533-position model. The record is from RNAcentral. Lineage: Bacteria; Pseudomonadati; Pseudomonadota; Alphaproteobacteria; Hyphomicrobiales; Hyphomicrobiaceae.
AGUGCGGAAUAGCUCAGGGAAACUUGGAGUAAUACCGUAUACGCCCGAAAGGGGAAAGAAUUUCGCUAUAGGAUGGGCCCGCGUAGGAUUAGCUAGUUGGUGAGGUAAUGGCUCACCAAGGCGACGAUCCUUAGCUGGUUUGAGAGAACGACCAGCCACACUGGGACUGAGACACGGCCCAGACUCCUACGGGAGGCAGCAGUGGGGAAUAUUGGACAAUGGGCGCAAGCCUGAUCCAGCCAUGCCGCGUGAGUGAUGAAGGCCUUAGGGUUGUAAAGCUCUUUUGCCGGGGACGAUAAU